RNAcentral lists this ribosomal RNA (653 nucleotides) under uncultured Spartobacteria bacterium. RNAcentral's name for it is "bacterial SSU rRNA". It matches the Rfam family "Bacterial small subunit ribosomal RNA", at positions 36 to 698 of the family's 1533-position model. The record is from RNAcentral. Lineage: Bacteria; Pseudomonadati; Verrucomicrobiota; Spartobacteria.
UUGGCGGCGUGGUUAAGACAUGCAAGUCGAACGGGACCAGGUUUGUAGCAAUACGGGCUUGGUUCAGUGGCGCACGGGUGCGUAACACGUGAGCAAUCUGCCGGGAAGUGGGGGAUAGCUCGCCGAAAGGCGAAUUAAUACCGCAUGUGGCCAUUCCUUGAUUAAGGGAAAAGCCAAAGCAGCAAUGCGCUUCCUGAUGAGCUCGCGGCCUAUCAGCUAGAUGGCGGGGUAACGGCCCACCAUGGCUAUGACGGGUAGCUGGUCUGAGAGGACGACCAGCCACACUGGAACUGAGAUACGGUCCAGACACCUACGGGUGGCAGCAGUCGAGAAUUUUUCACAAUGGGGGCAACCCUGAUGGAGCGACGCCGCGUGGAGGAUGAAGGCCUUCGGGUUGUAAACUCCUGUCAUGCGGGAACAAGAAAGUGAUAGUACCGCAAGAGGAAGAGACGGCUAACUCUGUGCCAGCAGCCGCGGUAAUACAGAGGUCUCAAGCGUUGUUCGGAUUCAUUGGGCGUAAAGGGUGCGUAGGUGGUGGCGCAAGUCUGGUGUGAAAUCUCGGAGCUCAACUCCGAAAUUGCAUCGGAUACUGCGUGACUCGAGGACUGUAGAGGAGAUCGGAAUUCACGGUGUAGCAAAUCACUAGUGAAUUC